Molecule: transfer RNA, 73 nt
Filed under: Diaporthe helianthi
Lineage: Eukaryota; Fungi; Ascomycota; Sordariomycetes; Diaporthales; Diaporthaceae
Rfam family: tRNA
About the family: Transfer RNA (tRNA) molecules are approximately 80 nucleotides in length. Their secondary structure includes four short double-helical elements and three loops (D, anti-codon, and T loops).
Source: Rfam by way of RNAcentral
GGGCGUCUAGCUCAUAUGGUAGAGCGCGCGCUUAGCAUGCGCGAGGCGCACGGUUCGAUUCCGUGGUCGUCCA